CCUACGGGAGGCAGCAGUGGGGAAUAUUGGACAAUGGGGGCAACCCUGAUCCAGCAAUGCCGCGUGAGUGAUGAAGGCCUUCGGGUUGUAAAGCUCUUUCGCCCGCGACGAUGAUGACGGUAGCGGGAGAAGAAGCCCCGGCUAACUUCGUGCCAGCAGCCGCGGUAAUACGAAGGGGGCGAGCGUUGUUCGGAAUCACUGGGCGUAAAGGGCGCGUAGGCGGCCCUGUUUGUCGCGUGUGAAAGCCCCGGGCUCAACCUGGGAGGUGCGCGCGAGACGGCGGGGCUGGAGUUCGGGAGAGGAGCGUGGAAUUCCCAGUGUAGAGGUGAAAUUCGUAGAUAUUGGGAAGAACACCGGUGGCGAAGGCGGCGCUCUGGACCGAGGCUGACGCUGAGGCGCGAAAGCGUGGGGAGCAAACAGGAUUAGAUACCCUGGUAGUCCACGCUGUAAACGAUGUGUGCUAGACGUUGGGAGGCCUAGCCUCUCGGUGUCGCAGCCAACGCGGUAAGCACACCGCCUGGGGAGUACGGCCGCAAGGUUAAAACUCAAAGGAAUUGACGG
This 561-nucleotide ribosomal RNA is filed under the name uncultured bacterium. Its description in RNAcentral is "bacterial SSU rRNA". It matches the Rfam family "Bacterial small subunit ribosomal RNA", at positions 338 to 916 of the family's 1533-position model. The record is from RNAcentral.